RNAcentral lists this ribosomal RNA (497 nucleotides) under uncultured bacterium. Its description in RNAcentral is "partial 16S ribosomal RNA". It matches the Rfam family "Bacterial small subunit ribosomal RNA", at positions 28 to 507 of the family's 1533-position model. The record is from RNAcentral.
GAUGAACGCUGGCGGCGUGCCUAAUACAUGCAAGUCGAGCGAACAGAUGAGGAGCUUGCUCCUCUGACGUUAGCGGCGGACGGGUGAGUAACACGUGGAUAACCUACCUAUAAGACUGGGAUAACUACGGGAAACCGGAGCUAAUACCGGAUAAUAUAUUGAACCGCAUGGUUCAAUAGUGAAAGACGGUUUUGCUGUCACUUAUAGAUGGAUCCGCGCCGCAUUAGCUAGUUGGUAAGGUAACGGCUUACCAAGGCAACGAUGCGUAGCCGACCUGAGAGGGUGAUCGGCCACACUGGAACUGAGACACGGUCCAGACUCCUACGGGAGGCAGCAGUAGGGAAUCUUACGCAAUGGGCGAAAGCCUGACGGAGCAACGCCGCGUGAGUGAUGAAGGUCUUCGGAUCGUAAAACUCUGUUAUUAGGGAAGAACAAAUGUGUAAGUAACUAUGCACGUCUUGACGGUACCUAAUCAGAAAGCCACGGCUAACUACGUG